Callorhinus ursinus (northern fur seal) is the source of this 107-nucleotide small nuclear RNA. NCBI's taxonomy places the organism in Eukaryota, Metazoa, Chordata, Mammalia, Carnivora, Otariidae. The record is from RefSeq and is a predicted model, not a curated record.
GUGCUCGCUUCGGCAGCACAUAUACUAAAAUUGGAACGAUACAGAGAAGAUUAGCAUGGCCCCUGCGCAAGGAUGAUACGCAAAUUCGGGAAACAUAUGAUACAGCU